CCUACGGGAGGCAGCAGUGAGGAAUAUUGGUCAAUGGUCGGGAGACUGAACCAGUCAAGCCGCGUGCGGGAUGAAGGUACAGAGUAUCGUAAACCGCUUUUGUCAGGGAACAAAGGCGGGGACGUGUCCCCGGAUGAGUGUAUCUUAAGAAAAAGCAUCGGCUAACUCCGUGCCAGCAGCCGCGGUAAUACGGAGGAUGCGAGCGUUAUCCGGAUUUAUUGGGUUUAAAGGGUGCGCAGGCGGUCUGUUAAGUUAGCGGUCAAAGGCCGGGGCUUAACCCCGGGCCCGCCUUUGAAACUGGCAGUCUCGAGUGGGGGAGAAGUAUGCGGAAUGCGCGGUGUAGCGGUGAAAUGCAUAGAUAUCGCGCAGAACUCCGAUUGCGAAGGCAGCAUGCCGGCUCCACACUGACGCUGAGGCACGAAAGCGUGGGUAUCGAACAGGAUUAGAUACCCCAGUAGUC
Molecule: ribosomal RNA, 460 nt
Filed under: uncultured bacterium
Lineage: Bacteria
Description: partial 16S ribosomal RNA
Rfam family: Bacterial small subunit ribosomal RNA
Source: RNAcentral